This 1018-nucleotide long non-coding RNA is filed under the name Rattus norvegicus (Norway rat). Its description in RNAcentral is "long non-coding RNA NONRATT013597". The record is from RNAcentral. Lineage: Eukaryota; Metazoa; Chordata; Mammalia; Rodentia; Muridae.
CAGUACUGUCCUCCUAUGUUUUUGGAUAGUCUCACCUCACCCUUAACAGCAAGCAGUACGUCUGUCACCACCACCAGCCCCCAUGAAAGCAGUACUCACGUUAGUUCAUCCAGCAGCAGGAGUGAGACAGGGGUCAUAACCAGCAGUGGGAGUAACAUUCCUGACGUCAUCUCUUUGGACUAAAGGCGGACAUACUUGAUUCUGGGAAUCAUUCAUCAAAACUCUUUCUUGGAUGUCUAGUCCAUGGAAGCUAAUUUUUGCAACUUAAUAUUUAUUGAAAUGUCAAAUGGAUCCUUUGCUUUCUGAGAGAUGAACAUGGAUGACUCCAGCAGGAACCAGAUGACAUGCCAGGAGGACUCUCCUCACGCUGUCCAUGAGCAUCGGAUACGGUGAGCAUUGGAUACGGUGAGCAUUGGAUACGGUUCAUCCAAGCGACUGUCUUUGGAGCGGUUGACUUCAGGUCCUACACUGUGGAUGGAGUCUACACACCAGGCAACCUUUUGUUACAAUAAACAGCAAUAAAGUUAUGUAAAUAGUUAAACUUUUCUAAUUAAAGAUGUAAUCACUGAUAUAGACUAACAGCAACUUCUGUUUAAUCCAGUAUGAAGGAAGGAUAGCUGGGAGAAGUCUUGUUUCCUGAGUGAAUACUUUCUAUGGAGAUCUGUUCUAUUUUGUUGAAGUAAUGAAGUUUGAAUAACUGGCCAGAAUUUGGGUUCUACUUUUCUUCUUCAGGUUUUCUGUUCUUCAUGAUCCCAUCAAAGCAAAUGAUCUUUGUGCUGUGCAUUUCCCUCUUGUCGUCCACGCUUUGAUGUUUGCUGAUGUGUGCCGAGUGAAAUGUGGAUUUGGUUGCCCUUUAUAAUGAUUAUGUUCAAGAAUACUGCCCAGAUUUUGUUCUGAUAUAAAGUGUUAUUUUGGGUUACUGUACAUUCUUGUAGAAUUUUCUACAGAUUUGAGACUUUUUUUUUCCGGAAAGUCAACCCUUUGAGUAAAAUGUGCUUGAGUUAAGAUGUGGCUAGAA